GAUGAACGCUGGCGGCGUGCCUAAUACAUGCAAGUCGAGCGAACAGACGAGGAGCUUGCUCCUCUGACGUUAGCGGCGGACGGGUGAGUAACACGUGGAUAACCUACCUAUAAGACUGGGAUAACUUCGGGAAACCGGAGCUAAUACCGGAUAACAUGUUGAACCGCAUGGUUCAACAGUGAAAGACGGUCUUGCUGUCACUUAUAGAUGGAUCCGCGCCGCAUUAGCUAGUUGGUAAGGUAACGGCUUACCAAGGCAACGAUGCGUAGCCGACCUGAGAGGGGGGUCGGCCACACUGGAACUGAGACACGGUCCAGACUCCUACGGGAGGCAGCAGUAGGGAAUCUUCCGCAAUGGGCGAAAGCCUGACGGAGCAACGCCGCGUGAGUGAAGAAGGUCUUCGGAUCGUAAAACUCUGUUAUUAGGGAAGAACAAAUGUGUAAGUAACUAUGCACGUCUUGACGGUACCUAAUCAGAAAGCCACGGCUAACUACGUG
RNAcentral lists this ribosomal RNA (497 nucleotides) under uncultured bacterium. Its description in RNAcentral is "partial 16S ribosomal RNA". It matches the Rfam family "Bacterial small subunit ribosomal RNA", at positions 28 to 507 of the family's 1533-position model. The record is from RNAcentral.